This 1854-nucleotide ribosomal RNA is filed under the name Novistrombidium testaceum. RNAcentral's name for it is "LSU rRNA". It matches the Rfam family "Eukaryotic large subunit ribosomal RNA", at positions 23 to 1874 of the family's 3401-position model. The record is from RNAcentral. Lineage: Eukaryota; Ciliophora; Spirotrichea; Strombidiidae.
ACCCGCUGGACUUAAGCAUAUCACUAAGCGGAGGAAAAGAAACUAACUAGGAUGGCCUCAGUAACGGCGAGUGAAGCGGCCAGAGCCCAAGAUGGAAAUCUCCGUGCUUCGCACGGCGAAUUGUAAUCUAGAGAGGCUAUGCUCACCGGGAUCUAACGCAGAAGUGCCCUCGAACGGGCCGCCAGAGAGGGUGAUAGCCCCGUAUGUGGUGUUGGAUCCUAACGAGCAGGUCUUCAAAGAGUCGGGUUGUUUUGUAUCGCAGCCCUAAGCUGGAGAUAAACUUCUUCUAAGGCUAAAUAUAUGUGGGAAACCGAUAGCGAACAAGUACUGUGAAGGAAAGAUGAAAAGCACUUUGGAAAGAGAGUCAAAAGACCUGAAACCGUUGAGGAGGAAGCGGUAGAGAUGAAUUCUGCUGAGUGGUACGGGGAAGUAGGCUGGGUCAUGGCUGGCGUGUCGUACGUCAAAGGCGACUGUUAGUUCGAGGUUCUAGCCUGCCACUUGUAGCGCUUAGUGAGGCCGGAUGGAGUCACGCGGCCACAGAAGCCUUGUUGGCCUCGCGCAUUUAUGUGCAGCCAAUGAGUGCUGGUGGCUGAGUGGCUUGAGGGAGCUUAGUGCGAUCCGGUCAAAAUGGUCUUUACCGGCCCGUCUUGAAACACGGACCAAGGAGUCUAACGUACACGCGAGUGUGACGGUGGAAAAACCGACACGCGAAAUGAAGGUGAGUGAUGCCAAGCGCAAGCAGCAGCAUCGACCGACCAUGAGCCUCUGGCGAAAGGUUUGAGUACGAGUGUGUCCGCUAGGACCCGAAAGAUGGUGAACUAUGCCUGCGUAGGGUGAAGCCAGGGGAAACUCUGGUGGAGGCUCGUAGCGAUACUGACGUGCAAAUCGUUCGUCGAACGUGGGUAUAGGGGCGAAAGACUAAUCGAACCAUCUAGUAGCUGGUUCCCUCCGAAGUUUCCCUCAGGAUAGCAAGGACAAUUGCGCAGUUUUAUUAGGUAAAGCGAAUGAUUAGAGGCAUCGGGGGCUACUUGCUCUCGACCUAUUCUCAAACUCUAAAUUGGUAAGAACCCGGGCCUGUCUUAAGUGAGGCGUCGGGGCUCAAUGCGUGUCCUUAGUGGGCCAUUUUUGGUAAGCAGAACUGGCGAUGAGGGAUGCACCUAACGUCGGGUUAAGGCGCCAAACUGCGCGCUCAUCCGAUACCACAAAGGGUGUUGGUCCAUAUAGACAGCAGGACGGUGGCCAUGGAAGUCGGAACCCGCUAAGGAGUGUGUAACAACUCACCUGCCGAAUGGACUAGCCCCGAAAAUGGAUGGCGCUUAAGCGCGCGGCCGAUACCCGACCAUUGCCGUGAGAGUGAGGCGGCAAUGAGUAGGAGGGCGUGGGCGUCGUAGCGAAGCCUCUGGCGUGAGCCUGGGUUGAACGGCGUCUAGUGCAGAUCUUGGUGGUAGUAGCAAUUAUUCAAAUGAGAACUUUGAAGGCCGAAGUGGAGAAGGUUUCCGGGAGAACAGCAAUUGGUCACGGGUGACUCGAUCCUAAGACAUGGGGGAAGCCCCUAGUAAGAGCUGAUAAGCUGUAGUCGAAAGGGAAUGAGGUUAAUAUUCCUCAAGCUGGAUGUGGGUGUUAUAUGGCAACAUAAAUGAGCCUGGGGACGCCGGCGCGAGCCUCUGGAAGAGUUCUCUUUUCUUUUUAACAGGCUAGCGGCCCUGAAAUGGGAUUAUCCCGAGAUAGGGCGGCAUGUCUGGAAGAGCGCCUCGCUUUCUGGGGCGUCAGGUGCGCUCGCGACGGUCCAUGAAAACCCAGGUGAGAUGGUUUCACACCAGGUCGUACCCAUAACCGCAUCAGGUCUCCAAGGUU